RNAcentral lists this ribosomal RNA (456 nucleotides) under uncultured bacterium. RNAcentral describes it as "bacterial SSU rRNA". It matches the Rfam family "Bacterial small subunit ribosomal RNA", at positions 340 to 786 of the family's 1533-position model. The record is from RNAcentral.
UACGGAAGGCAGCAGUGGGGAAUAUUGCACAAUGGGCGAAAGCCUGAUGCAGCUAUGCCGCGUGUAUGAAGAAGGCCUUAGGGUUGUAAAGUACUUUCAUCGGGGAGGAAAAAACAAAACUAAUAAUUUUAUUUCUUGACGUUACCCGAAAAAGAAGCACCGGCUAACUCCGUGCCAGCAGCCGCGGUAAUACGGAGGGUGCUAGCGUUAAUCAGAAUUACUGGGCGUAAAGAGCACGUAGGUGGUUUUUUAAGUCAGAUGUGAAAUCCCUGGGCUUAACCUAGGAACUGCAUUUUGAAACUGAAAUACUAGAGUAUCGUAGAGGGAGGUAGAAUUCUAGGUGUAGCGGUGAAAUGCGUAGAUAUCUGGAGGAAUACCUGUGGCGAAAGCGGCCUCCUAAACGAAUACUGACACUGAGGUGCGAAAGCGUUGGGGAGCAAACAGGGAUUAGAUACC